GCCUGAUUUCUCAAACUCUCACUAACCCUGUAUCUAUUCUUCGAAUCUGAUAUUAAUCUCAAAUGCUAUUGUACCUUGAUGGCUAGCUUGGCAGAGUUGAUCAUGAACUCCAAGUUUGAAUCAUCGAUCCAUCCAUCGAUCGCAUGGUGCAAAAUUUCCUCUGGCAAGAUCCGAGCCACCACCAGUUUGUUUUUGAAUAAUGAGGACAGGACGGCGCGAGUUGGAGGACGGAGACGUGCGUAUCUCAGGGAGGCUGGUGCCUGCGCGUAGUUCCCUCUCACACGGCGAGCUGGCCAGAACGAAUAUUCUGUUUCAUUUCCAUGGAAGAAUGCCGUCACCGAUAUGAUCUUCUUCUCGGGGAAAGCUGAAAAGAAAAGAUUUGUGAACAUUUCCAGGGCUGUGAGAUUUUACGAGGACUACGCAGAAGAAUUUCGUGCUGAUGGCUGGCUGGCUGGCUGGCUGACUGACUGAUCUUGUUGCUUGGUGUUUGUAUUUUUACAAAUCAAGGCUCGUGAUGCUCGAGUCAGGGAUGAAUUUAGAAAUCAAGAGUAACACAGAUGGGUUUAGUACGCAGUAGGUCAGUUUCUUAUUUUUAGAUGCCCGCGCCAUGCAGAAAUGAGAGAGAAAACACGAGGGUGAUCGAGGUUCUGUUCGAAGAAAGGGUGAUUUUUUUUUUUGUUUCGUUUUGUUUUCAAACCCUUUUGCUCCCUCAUUUUUCGUUCUCCCCAACUCCAGAAGUAAACAAAUGAGUCAAGCAAGAGUAAACAUCAUCAUACAAUUCGAUCACAACAUCUGGGAUCAUACGAGAGCAUUCUUCAGACUGCGAC
RNAcentral lists this small RNA (827 nucleotides) under Histoplasma capsulatum. RNAcentral's name for it is "hypothetical RNA". RNAcentral also lists the same sequence under 1 other name. Lineage: Eukaryota; Fungi; Ascomycota; Eurotiomycetes; Onygenales; Ajellomycetaceae. The record is from RNAcentral.